Molecule: ribosomal RNA, 378 nt
Filed under: uncultured bacterium
Lineage: Bacteria
Description: bacterial SSU rRNA
Rfam family: Bacterial small subunit ribosomal RNA
Source: RNAcentral
GACGAACGCUGGCGGCGUGCUUAACACAUGCAAGUCGAGCGGUAAGGCCCUUUCGGGGGUACACGAGCGGCGAACGGGUGAGUAACACGUGGGUGACCUGCCCUUGGCUCUGGGAUAAGCCUGGGAAACUGGGUCUAAUACCGGAUAUGACUCCAUGACGCAUGUUGUGGGGUGGAAAGCCUUGUGCGGCUAGGGAUGGGCCCGCGGCCUAUCAGCUUGUUGGUGGGGUGAUGGCCUACCAAGGCGACGACGGGUAGCCGGCCUGAGAGGGCGACCGGCCACACUGGGACUGAGACACGGCCCAGACUCCUACGGGAGGCAGCAGUGGGGAAUCUUGCGCAAUGGGCGAAAGCCUGACGCAGCGACGCCGCGUGGGGA